Molecule: unclassified non-coding RNA, 285 nt
Filed under: fungal sp.
Lineage: Eukaryota; Fungi
Description: partial internal transcribed spacer region
Rfam family: Eukaryotic small subunit ribosomal RNA (bases 1-46)
Source: RNAcentral
AAGUCGUAACAAGGUUUCCGUAGGUGAACCUGCGGAAGGAUCAUUAACACUUUUUCCAAAAAACUCUGGGAAAAGAAGUUCUGCUUCUUUUCUUGGUUUUAACCCCAUUCUUUUGCGAACGAUGAUUUUCCAAAAUCAUUUUUCUCUUCUUUAUCCUCUUUUUUUAUUUUUACCCCAAUUACUACAAACCAUACAAAGCCUGAUAUAAAAUCGCUCUUUUGAAAAAAAAAAGCGACCGAAACCUAAUGGUUAAAACAACUCUUAGCAACGGAUAUCUUGGCUCUC